Molecule: ribosomal RNA, 378 nt
Filed under: Triticum aestivum (bread wheat)
Lineage: Eukaryota; Viridiplantae; Streptophyta; Magnoliopsida; Poales; Poaceae
Description: partial small subunit ribosomal RNA
Source: RNAcentral
AUGCCGACGACACUACCGGCGUCCAGCACGGGCAGGCUGUGGUGCGCGCCGUCGCCGUUGCCGAAGGGGCCGUGGGUGGUCCCCAGGUUGGUCACGAACUUGAGCGAGGUGACGCACGCCUCGAUCUCCUUGAGCUUGAACGGGCCCACGGUCCAGCCGACCUCCGUCACGUACUCCGAGGGCCCCAGGGUGAUCUGUGCGUACAAGCAUAUAUAUCAAGGAUUUUCCGGGGAGUUUUGGAAAGAGGUACAUAAAAAAUUGAAUUUUGAAUCUGAAUUUGAAUUUGAAAGAAAAGGCCCACCAGGUCUUCCGACACGCCUCCGGCACCGCCCCAGGGCCCGGCGGCGUGCAGCUGCCCGUCCUUGUCGGUGUAGGUGA